This 492-nucleotide ribosomal RNA is filed under the name uncultured bacterium. Its description in RNAcentral is "partial 16S ribosomal RNA". It matches the Rfam family "Bacterial small subunit ribosomal RNA", at positions 29 to 507 of the family's 1533-position model. The record is from RNAcentral.
AUUGAACGCUGGCGGCAUGCUUUACACAUGCAAGUCGAACGGUAACAGGCCUUCGGGUGCUGACGAGUGGCGAACGGGUGAGUAAUGCAUCGGAACGUACCCAGAGGUGGGGGAUAACGCAGCGAAAGCUGUGCUAAUACCGCAUAUGAUCUGAGGAUGAAAGCGGGGGACCGAGCAGCAAUGUUUGGCCUCGCGCCUUUGGAGCGGCCGAUGUCGGAUUAGCUAGUUGGUGGGGUAAAGGCCUACCAAGGCGACGAUCCGUAGCUGGUCUGAGAGGACGACCAGCCACACUGGGACUGAGACACGGCCCAGACUCCUACGGGAGGCAGCAGUGGGGAAUUUUGGACAAUGGGCGCAAGCCUGAUCCAGCAAUGCCGCGUGCGGGAAGAAGGCCUUCGGGUUGUAAACCGCUUUUGGCAGGAACGAAACGGUGUCCGCUAAUACCGGGCGCUAAUGACGGUACCUGCAGAAUAAGCACCGGCUAACUACGUG